GUGCCAGCCGCCGCGGUAAUACGGAGGGUGCAAGCGUUGUUCGGAAUUAUUGGGCGUAAAGGGCGUGUAGGCGGUUUGGUAAGUCAGAUGUGAAAGCCCUGGGCUUAACCCAGGAAGUGCAUUUGAAACUACCAUCCUCGAGUAUGGGAGAGGAGAGUGGAAUUCCCAGUGUAGAGGUGAAAUUCGUAGAUAUUGGGAGGAACACCCGUGGCGAAGGCGACUCUCUGGACCAAUACUGACGCUGAGACGCGAAAGCGUGGGGAGCAAACAGGAUUAGAUACCCUGGUAGUCCACGCCGUAAACGAUGAGAACUAGGUGUAGCGGGUAUUGACCCCUGCUGUGCCGAAGCUAACGCAUUAAGUUCUCCGCCUGGGGAGUACGGCCGCAAGGCUAAA
This 395-nucleotide ribosomal RNA is filed under the name uncultured bacterium. RNAcentral's name for it is "bacterial SSU rRNA". It matches the Rfam family "Bacterial small subunit ribosomal RNA", at positions 505 to 898 of the family's 1533-position model. The record is from RNAcentral.